RNAcentral lists this ribosomal RNA (292 nucleotides) under uncultured bacterium. RNAcentral's name for it is "partial 16S ribosomal RNA". It matches the Rfam family "Archaeal small subunit ribosomal RNA", at positions 455 to 747 of the family's 1478-position model. The record is from RNAcentral.
GUGCCAGCAGCCGCGGUAGUACCAGCACCCCGAGUGGUCGGGACGAUUAUUGGGCCUAAAGCAUCCGUAGCCGGUUCUACAAGUCUUCCGUUAAAUCCACCUGCUUAACAGUUGGGCUGCAGAGGAUACUAUAGAGCUAGGAGACGGGAGAGGCAAGCGGUACUUAGUGGGUAGGGGUAAAAUCCGUUGAUCCACUGAAGACCACCAGUGGCGAAGGCGGCUUGCCAGAACGCGCUCGACGGUGAGGGAUGAAAGCUGGGGGAGCAAACCGGAUUAGAAACCCGCGUAGUCC